This 484-nucleotide ribosomal RNA is filed under the name uncultured bacterium. Its description in RNAcentral is "partial 16S ribosomal RNA". It matches the Rfam family "Bacterial small subunit ribosomal RNA", at positions 30 to 507 of the family's 1533-position model. The record is from RNAcentral.
AUUGAACGCUGGCGGCAGGCCUAACACAUGCAAGUCGAGCGGAUGAAGGGAGCUUGCGCCUGGAUUCAGCGGCGGACGGGGGAGUAAUGCCUAGGAAUCUGCCUGGUAGGGGGGGAUAACGUCCGGAAACGGGCGCUAAUACCGCAGACGACCUGAGGGAGAAAGUGGGGGAUCUUCGGACCGCACGCUAUCAGAGGAGCCUAGGUCGGAUUAGCUAGUUGGUGGGGUAAAGGCCUACCAAGGCGACUAUCCGUAACUGGUCUGAGUGGCUGAUCAGUCACACUGGAACUUAGCCACGCUCCAUACUCCUACGGUACGCAGCAGUCGGGAAUAUUGGACAAUGGUCGAAAGCCUUAUCCAGCCAUGCCGCGUGUGUGACGACGGUCUUCCGAUUGUAAAGCACUUUAAGUUGUGGUGAAGGGCAGUAAGUUAUUACCUUGCUGUUUUGACGUUACCAACAGAAUAAGCACCGGCUAACUUCGUG